This 232-nucleotide ribosomal RNA is filed under the name uncultured bacterium. Its description in RNAcentral is "partial 16S ribosomal RNA". It matches the Rfam family "Bacterial small subunit ribosomal RNA", at positions 103 to 334 of the family's 1533-position model. The record is from RNAcentral.
CCGGGUGCGUAACGCGUAUGCAAUCUACCCUUUACUGGGGAAUAGCCCGGAGAAAUUCGGAUUAACACCGCAUAAUAUGUUGAGGAGGCAUCUUUUUAACAUUAAAUCUACGGAGGUAAAGGAUGAGCAUGCGUCUGAUUAGUUAGUUGGUGAGGUAACGGCUCACCAAGACGAUGAUCAAUAGGGGUUCUGAGAGGAAGGUCCCCCACACUGGUACUGAGAUACGGACCAG